UCUAUUUGGUUUUGGUUCUUUGUUCUGUCAAAAUUAUUUUUAUAGGUCAGGAGAAAACAGGGUAAAGCAUGGCAACAAAAUCAGAAGUUUUCUUUAAAAAGUCAGGAUCAUUGGCAGUUUUCUUUGGCCUAAAUCCUGUAACAUGCCACACCAUUAGCAGAACUUUUCCCCUCAGUGAACAAAGGUCUUCUCUUCAGUUUGAAGGCCCAAAGAAUGCAGCAUUUGCAAUAGACCAUGAAAGCUGAUUCAUCCUUCUCCGGGAAAUGCAGGCCCUAUCUGUACUGUUUUUAACAUAAAUUGGAUUAAUCAGAGAUUCAUUUAUUCCAAGCAGACUGUUUUGAGGUCCUGUGAAGGAGCAUUCACCUUGGGAUCUCAAGGUCUUUAGUUCAAAUCCCAGCAGAUGAGAGCUCUGUUUCCUCUUAGACAAUGAAAAGUGUUCCUAGAAAAAAAAAAAGCAGAAUUCUCAAUCUCUAAUGUACAUGCAUCUACUGGGAUUUAAAUACUUACCAUUUUCUGAAUCAAGUAUAAUUUCAGAAAUGGUUCUGGAAUUAAUUUUUCACAUGAUAAAGAACAACAAAUAAGCAUAACUAAAAACAAAAUUUUAAAGAAAAUACAUCAAGACCAACCUCUGUGAUAUAUAUACUAAAAAUACACAACACAUAAAACCUGUUCAGCAUGCCAUCUUCUUUCACUUCCUGUCCCACCCAAACAUUUUUUUAACAGAUAAAUUGUGUUGUAUUUCUAAGAUGCAAGUGUGGGUAGAAUGUUUUAUGCAGCAAAAUUCUGUAGCCCUUUCAUACACCCUUUCUUCUUCAUCAUCUCCCAGUUACCCCGAGUCCAUUUGUGCCCUACUUCCCAAUCAGGAAAACCCUGUAGAUGUGUUGAAGACGUACACUUGAAUUCCAGUAGUCACAGCUCCCACUCUGCCCUAAGGAACUGUCUCCUCCAGUGUUUACCCUUCCUUUGGCUGAAGUUGUGUCUUUUUCCCAACUUUUCCUGUCUCCUGUUCCCUGGGCCAUUAUUGGUACCAAGGGACACAGCACAGGAAAUCACUGCCUUUGCUCAGGACUCCUGCUGGGUUUUUUUUUGUUUGUUUGUUUGUUUUGCUUUGGAGAUGCAGGGUAUAGAUUUCUCUGAUUCAUCAAGAAUGUUAAAGGAAUGUGCAUCUGUCCUCUCAAAGUGUAUUCCACUACUGACAGAAAUCAAGAACACCAAGUCCAGAAGUCAGCUUUUAAAGUGUAGGGGGUCUUUAUUGGAGCAGCCUCUCAACCUA
This 1273-nucleotide long non-coding RNA is filed under the name Marmota monax (woodchuck). Lineage: Eukaryota; Metazoa; Chordata; Mammalia; Rodentia; Sciuridae. The record is from RNAcentral.